ACAAACACUCAGAUCAUUCAUGAUGAUUGAGUUUAUCACAUAAUAAAUUAGAUGGCUAUAAAAAUGGCCCUGCUCUUCUGGCGUUUAAAUAUUUGUUUUAAGCUAUAAACACACGUCCAGAGUUCGCUGGAAUCGUGCAUUUAUUGAAUGUGUUUUUUUAUGUGACAGCACGGUGCCUUCAGCAGAUAUAAGCUCUGACAGCGACGGACUGAAGCAGAAGCAGCAGUUUGUGUCCUUUUGACGGUGAAGCAACAACGUCUCCACAGUUCGACCUGCAGCCGUGAAUCCAUUUCAGCAUAAACCUGACAAUGAAGCUGGUUUCAGUCCUCGUCCUCCUCUUGGCUCCGGUGUUGACCAGCAGCUACAAGCUCAUCCUCCCGGUCGACUGCAGCGACAUCUAUAAUCACGACAAAAGCCGAUCCAGCGGAGUGUACACCAUCUAUCCCAUCGGAGCCACGUCUGCUGUCCAGGUUUACUGCGACAUGAGCUCAUUCGGAGGAAGGUGGACG
Plectropomus leopardus (leopard coralgrouper) is the source of this 509-nucleotide non-coding RNA. The record is from RefSeq and is a predicted model, not a curated record. NCBI's taxonomy places the organism in Eukaryota, Metazoa, Chordata, Actinopteri, Perciformes, Serranidae.